GCUAGGCCCCACAGUUCAUGUGACUUGGAGAGUCUUCCUUCCAGCCUUCUGAAUCUCUGCUUGACUUCCAAGGCCACACUGUUGAUCACUCUGCUGUCACAUGGGGUUUGUAUAUAGGAGAAGGAAAUAAAGCUUUGAAGAUCAGUUGAGAUCAAGUAUAAAACACUGGAGGUGUAUUUUACUUAGUGUGUGCACUAAGAAGCGACUCUUCCUAAAACAUACAAAAGCAAUGAGACUCUAACCUAGAAAGACAACAGCAAUAUCACAGAGCUAAAACCAAGACUUGUGAACAGAAGAUCAUGCAAAUCCAUUAAAAACUUAAUACAAAAGA
Long non-coding RNA from Neofelis nebulosa (Clouded leopard), 331 nucleotides. RefSeq lists it as uncharacterized. The record is from RefSeq and is a predicted model, not a curated record. Lineage: Eukaryota; Metazoa; Chordata; Mammalia; Carnivora; Felidae. The transcript is spliced from 3 exons.